RNAcentral lists this ribosomal RNA (134 nucleotides) under Pteropus alecto (black flying fox). The record is from RNAcentral. Lineage: Eukaryota; Metazoa; Chordata; Mammalia; Chiroptera; Pteropodidae.
GUCUAUGGCCAUGCCACUCUGAUGUGCCCCAUCCUGUCUAAUCUCGAUCCUGUCUGAUCUCGGAAGCUAAGCAGGGUCGGGCCUGGUUAGUACUGGGAUGGGAGACCACCUAGGAAGAUCAGGUGCUAGAGGCA